CGGCCCGGCGUGUCUCUCGUUAAAUCCACAGGCCUAACCUGUGGGCUGCGGGAGAUACUGCCGGGCUUGGGGGUGGGAGAGGCGCCCGGUAUUCCCAGGGUAGGGGUAAAUCCUCUGAUCCUGGGAGGACCACCAGUGGCGAAGGCGGGGCGCCAGAACACGCCCGACGGUGAGGGGCGAAAGCUGGGGGAGCAAACGGGAUUAGAUACCCCGGUAGUCCCAGCUGUAAACGAUGCGGGUUAGGUGCCGGGACGGCUACGAGCCGCCCCGGUGCCGAAGGGAAGCCAUUAAGCCCGCCGCCUGGGGA
RNAcentral lists this ribosomal RNA (307 nucleotides) under uncultured archaeon. RNAcentral's name for it is "bacterial SSU rRNA". It matches the Rfam family "Archaeal small subunit ribosomal RNA", at positions 526 to 834 of the family's 1478-position model. The record is from RNAcentral.